Molecule: long non-coding RNA, 853 nt
Organism: Syngnathus typhle (broad-nosed pipefish)
Lineage: Eukaryota; Metazoa; Chordata; Actinopteri; Syngnathiformes; Syngnathidae
Exons: 3
Source: RefSeq, a predicted model, not a curated record
GAACGGACGGCUGUCGUAUCUAUCUAUCUAUCUAUCUAUCUAUCUAUCUAUCUAUCUAUCUAUCUAUCUAUCUAUCUAUCUAUCUAUCUAUCUAUCUAUCUAUCUAUCUAUCUAUCUAUCUAUCUAUCUAUCUAUCUAUCUAUCUAUCUAUCUAUCUAUCUAUCUAUCUAUCUAUCUAUCUAUCUAUCUAUCUAUCUAUCUAUCUAUCUAUCUAUCUAUCUAUCUAUCUAUCUAUCUAUCUAUCUAUCUAUCUAUCUAUCUAUCUAUCUAUCUAGCCAUGCUAGCUCACAAAUCCACGUCAUCCGAGUCGCUGGAAGACUGGGACUCCUCUUGGCCUUUGCCCCAUACAAACCUGUAGUUGUUCUCCAACUCCUGCUGUCGCUUUUGCUCCUUGUGAACUUCCUCUGUGCCUCCAGGAAGGGUGCACCUUCACGGUUCUUGACCAGCCCAUCUCUCUGGACCGACUCCGGCUCAGGAACAUCGAUCAGCUCAAUGCCUCAACAUCAGGGCUGCCUCAUUCUUUUAUAAUCACGCACCAGAACCGCUACCAGCAGUGUAUUGGUGCGUUUGUCCUUCAGGCUGUGUCCGAGUCUUCCAAGAGAGCAUGGCUAUCGAAGAUAGAGGAGGCCGUAUCGGCCCUGCUUAAGCUGGACUCUCGGCAGCCACGAGUAAAAAACGAUUCACUGUGGUUGGAAUCUUCUCAGAUCUGAAAUGUCCCGCUACACGAGAUGCCAUUGCACAUGCCCAGUUGUGCGCCGGCACUUCACUCUUCCGUGUCACCAAUGACUAUGAUUCCACUAGCAUGUCGUACGUACACAGUCAACUGCUGUAGUAGUCUACCAAUAAAACUUUG